AGCAGCCGCGGUAAUUCCAGCUCCAAUAGCGUAUAUUAAAGUUGUUGCAGUUAAAAAGCUCGUAGUUGAAUUUCGGGGUCAAUAAGUUGGUCGUGCCAAUGGUAUGCACUGGCUUUAUUGAUUCCUACCUCUUGACGAACUGUGAUGCCAUUAAUUUGGUGUCGCAAGGAAUCAGGACUGUUACCUUGAAAAAUUAGAGUGUUUAAAGCAGGCUUACGCUUGAAUACAUUAGCAUGGAAUAAUGAAAUAGGACGUUUGAACCUAUUUUGUUGGUUUUUAGGAUCGACGUAAUGAUUAAUAGGGAUAGUUGGGGGCAUUAGUAUUCAAUUGUCAGAGGUGAAAUUCUUGGAUUUAUUGAAGACUAACUACUGCGAAAGCAUCUGCCAAGGAUGUUUUCAUUAAUCAAGAACGAAAGUUAGGGGAUCGAAGACGAUCAGAUACCGUCGUAGUCUUAACCAUAAACUAUGCCGACUAGGGAUCGGAUGAUGUUAAUUUUAAUGUACUCAUUCGG
This 511-nucleotide unclassified non-coding RNA is filed under the name uncultured Glomus. RNAcentral's name for it is "SSU rRNA". It matches the Rfam family "Eukaryotic small subunit ribosomal RNA", at positions 569 to 1083 of the family's 1831-position model. The record is from RNAcentral. Lineage: Eukaryota; Fungi; Glomeromycota; Glomeromycetes; Glomerales; Glomeraceae.